This 253-nucleotide ribosomal RNA is filed under the name uncultured bacterium. RNAcentral's name for it is "partial 16S ribosomal RNA". It matches the Rfam family "Bacterial small subunit ribosomal RNA", at positions 524 to 776 of the family's 1533-position model. The record is from RNAcentral.
GACAGAGGGUGCAAACGUUGUUCGGAAUUACUGGGCGUAAAGCGCGUGUAGGCGGCUCUGUAAGUCGGGUGUGAAAUCCCACGGCUCAACCGUGGAAGUGCACUCGAAACUACAGGGCUAGAGUCCUGGAGAGGUCGGUGGAAUUGCCGGUGUAGUGGUGAAAUGCGUAGAGAUCGGCAGGAACACCCAGGGGGAAACCAGCCGACUGGGCAAGUGCUGACGCUGAGGUGCGAGAGCGUGGGGAGCGAACCGG